UUAUGGUGAUUGGGAUUUAGGUUUUUGAAUUCUCGAUCUCAUUGAAAGUUAGGAUAUUAAUUUGGGAUUAAUUUGUCAGGGUAUGAGAAUGUGAAAUUGGGGGUUAGGGUUUCUGUUUCUCAAUUUGAAUUUAUGUUACUAAUGAUUGUUGACAGAUUUCUUCUAUGUUUAAUAUGAGAUUGGAGAUAUAGUUAAAGGGAGGACGGUGAGCAUUGCGGAGGCACAGUUCGCGACAGCAAAAAUGUCACGGUACCCGGUCUCAAUUGUGGAUAGCCAAGCCAUUGCCCAGAACAUAAGGUCAGCCCUCGUCAAUUAAAGACUGCAUUUGUUACAUUCAAGGACGCCGAAGCUCUUGAAAUCGCCCUCUUGUUGUCGGUUUUUUUUCUUAAUUAAACUUGGGAACACUCGAGGUUUUAUCUCAUGUGCCUUAUCAGAUUACAGCCAUCAGAGCAGGCUUCUUCUUCAAUGGAGCAACAAUGGUUGAUCAGAUUGUGACUAUCUGUUGAAUGACCAAAUAAUGAGAUGCCAGUAAGUUUACUUGAAAGUUGUCUGCAAUUUGUUGUUUCCUUUGGCCAAAACUUGCAGUUUAUUAUUGCAAUUUAUGCAGGAAGUAAAAAUGAUGAAAAGUGUUGUUUGUGCUGCAUUUGCUGAAAGAGUUUCAUCAAAUGCUGAGGUAGCUAAUAACACCACCACACAUCUAACACUUUUAAGAAUUGUAACCUGUUGAAAACAAAUUCUAUACAGGGAAGUAAGUACCUUUUUGCUGUAUGUGAGAUUUUGCCUGGAAAUGGAAACAAGUGUAGAGAACUUAUGACAAUAUUUUAGGGUCUUUAUGUAGGUGAAUGUUUAAUUCUUUGGGCUUUUCAGUGACAGAAGGAUGAUUGAAAUU
Rosa chinensis is the source of this 889-nucleotide long non-coding RNA. RefSeq lists it as uncharacterized. The record is from RefSeq and is a predicted model, not a curated record. Lineage: Eukaryota; Viridiplantae; Streptophyta; Magnoliopsida; Rosales; Rosaceae. The transcript has 3 exons.